GUGAGGAAUAUUGGUCAAUGGACGCAAGUCUGAACCAGCCACGUCGCGUGAAGGAAGACGGCCCUACGGGUUGUAAACUUCUUUUAUACGGGAAUAAAGUGCCCCACGCGUGGGGUUUUGCAAGUACCGUACGAAUAAGGAUCGGCUAACUCCGUGCCAGCAGCCGCGGUAAUACGGAGGAUCCGAGCGUUAUCCGGAUUUAUUGGGUUUAAAGGGUGCUCAGGCGGGGGAUUAAGUCGGCGGUGAAAUUUUGCAGCUCAACUGUAAAAGUGCCUUCGAAACUGGUUUCCUUGAGUGCGGAUGAGGUAGGCGGAAUUUGUGGUGUAGCGGUGAAAUGCAUAGAUAUCACGAGGAACUCCGAUUGCGCAGGCAGCUUACCAAGCCGUAACUGACGCUCAAGCACGAAGGCGUGGGGAUCAAACAGG
RNAcentral lists this ribosomal RNA (425 nucleotides) under bacterium. RNAcentral's name for it is "bacterial SSU rRNA". It matches the Rfam family "Bacterial small subunit ribosomal RNA", at positions 354 to 776 of the family's 1533-position model. The record is from RNAcentral.